Long non-coding RNA from Zingiber officinale, 860 nucleotides. RefSeq lists it as uncharacterized. Lineage: Eukaryota; Viridiplantae; Streptophyta; Magnoliopsida; Zingiberales; Zingiberaceae. The transcript has 3 exons. The record is from RefSeq and is a predicted model, not a curated record.
AAAACGGAAACAUGAAGAUGAAAUUUAGAUAGUUCGUCGAUUUCUGUCCGCCAAACGAAUCCUUUCGCGCAUUGACCGACCGCGUCGAUUUCGCCGAGGGUCGCCGAAGCAUUCUGAGAGUGCCGCAUCGCAACUUCUGCUCCCUCCCCCAUUCUCCGCAGGACCGUACCAGAUCUUUUCUUUUUUAUCUUCUUUUCCUCCAACUUCUGGUGCAAUCCUCCAUCGUCGAGGGCUUCGAAGCUUCUCCUCUAUACCCGUGACCCUCAUCUUCGAGGGGUGUGUGACAAAGAGGAAGGAUGAUGGAAGGAGACAACUUCUCAGUCUUCGGCAAUGGAACCCAAGUGGAUAGCAAAGUCUUCCAAUCCUUCCAGAAGAGCUUCCUUCAGGUGCAAAGCAUCUUAGAUCAAAACAGAUUACUGAUCAAUGAGAUCAAUCAGAAUCACGAGUCAAAGAUCCCUGACAGCCUCAGCCGCAAUGUGGGCUUGAUCAGAGAGCUCAACAAUAACAUCCGGCGUGUCGUCGACCUCUACGCUGAUCUCUCCCUCUCCUUCACCAAAUCCGUGGAAGCAUCGUCCGAGUGGAGCUCCGCAGUGAGGCAACCAAGCCACAAGAGGAGUAGGCCUGAGCAGUGAGUAGUGUCCACGAGACGGCAGACAAAUUACGACACGGGGAGGGACGAUUUAGAGCUUUGAAGAGAAUUGCUUAUUCAAAUAACAGAUCGGAUCUAAAGAAGGGAAGGAGAUCGGCAAUUCUCUGUUCUACGCUUAGAGAAGGAUUGGGGGAAACAAUGGCUGGCCGGAGCUUGAAAUGCGGGUGGAAAUGGGGAUGGACGAGGUAGGAGAAGCUCUAUACCUCAGUGG